This 497-nucleotide ribosomal RNA is filed under the name uncultured bacterium. Its description in RNAcentral is "partial 16S ribosomal RNA". It matches the Rfam family "Bacterial small subunit ribosomal RNA", at positions 28 to 507 of the family's 1533-position model. The record is from RNAcentral.
GAUGAACGCUGGCGGCGUGCCUAAUACAUGCAAGUCGAGCGAACUGACGAGAAGCUUGCUUCUCUGAUGUUAGCGGCGGACGGGUGAGUAACACGUGGAUAACCUACCUAUAAGACUGGGAUAACUUCGGGAAACCGGAGCUAAUACCGGAUAAUAUUUUGAACCGCAUGGUUCAAAAGUGAAAGACGGUCUUGCUGUCACUUAUAGAUGGAUCCGCGCUGCAUUAGCUAGUUGGUAAGGUAACGGCUUACCAAGGCAACGAUGCAUAGCCGACCUGAGAGGGUGAUCGGCCACACUGGAACUGAGACACGGUCCAGACUCCUACGGGAGGCAGCAGUAGGGAAUCUUCCGCAAAGGGCGAAAGCCUGACGGAGCAACGCCGCGUGAGUGAUGAAGGUCUUCGGAUCGUAAAACUCUGUUAUUAGGGAAGAACAUAUGUGUAAGUAACUGUGCACAUCUUGACGGUACCUAAUCAGAAAGCCACGGCUAACUACGUG